Molecule: ribosomal RNA, 245 nt
Filed under: uncultured bacterium
Lineage: Bacteria
Also listed under: 1 other name
Description: partial 16S ribosomal RNA
Rfam family: Bacterial small subunit ribosomal RNA
Source: RNAcentral
UACGUAGGGGGCAAGCGUUGUCCGGAAUCAUUGGGCGUAAAGAGCGUGUAGGCGGCUCGGUAAGUCCGCUCUGAAAGCCCGGGGCUCAACCCCGGGAGGCGGGCGGAUACUGUCGAGCUAGAGUCCGGAAGAGGCGAGUGGAAUUCCUGGUGUAGCGGUGAAAUGCGCAGAUAUCAGGAGGAACACCAAUGGCGAAGGCAGCUCGCUGGGACGGUACUGACGCUGAGACGCGAAAGCGUGGGGAG